GUUGUCGUCAGCUCGUGUCGUGAGAUGUUGGGUUAAGUCCCGCAACGAGCGCAACCCUUAAGCUUAGUUGCCAUCAUUAAGUUGGGCACUCUAAGUUGACUGCCGGUGACAAACCGGAGGAAGGUGGGGAUGACGUCAAAUCAUCAUGCCCCUUAUGAUUUGGGCUACACACGUGCUACAAUGGACAAUACAAAGGGCAGCGAAACCGCGAGGUCAAGCAAAUCCCAUAAAGUUGUUCUCAGUUCGGAUUGUAGUCUGCAACUCGACUACAUGAAGCUGGAAUCGCUAGUAAUCGUAGAUCAGCAUGCUACGGUGAAUACGUUCCCGGGUCUUGUACACACCGCCCGUCACACCACGAGAGUUUGUAACACCCGAAGCCGGUGGAGUAACCUUUUAGGAGCUAGCCGUCGAAGGUGGGACAAAUGAUUGGGGUGAAGUCGUAACAAGGUAGCCGUAUCGGAAGGUGCGGCUGGAUCA
RNAcentral lists this ribosomal RNA (477 nucleotides) under Staphylococcus aureus. RNAcentral's name for it is "bacterial SSU rRNA". It matches the Rfam family "Bacterial small subunit ribosomal RNA", at positions 1048 to 1525 of the family's 1533-position model. The record is from RNAcentral. Lineage: Bacteria; Bacillati; Bacillota; Bacilli; Caryophanales; Staphylococcaceae.